CCUACGGGAGGCAGCAGUGAGGAAUAUUGGUCAAUGGGCGAAAGCCUGAUGGAGCAACGCCGCGUGCAGGAUGAAGGCCUUCGGGUUGUAAACUGCUUUUAUAAGCGAGAAAUAUGAUGGUAACUUAUGAAUAAGGAUCGGCUAACUACGUGCCAGCAGCCGCGGUCAUACGUAGGAUCCGAGCAUUAUCCGGAGUGACUGGGUGUAAAGAGUUGCGUAGGUGGCAUAAUAAGUAGCUAGUGAAAUCUGGUGGCUCAACCAUUCAGACUAUUAGCUAAACUGUUAAGCUCGAGACCGUUAGGGGUAACUGGAAUUUCUAGUGUAGGAGUGAAAUCCGUAGAUAUUAGAAGGAACACCAAUAGCGUAGGCAGGUUGCUGGGACGGUUCUGACACUAAGGCACGAAAGCGUAGGGAGCAAACGGGAUUAGAUACCCGUGUAGUC
This 442-nucleotide ribosomal RNA is filed under the name uncultured bacterium. RNAcentral's name for it is "partial 16S ribosomal RNA". It matches the Rfam family "Bacterial small subunit ribosomal RNA", at positions 338 to 795 of the family's 1533-position model. The record is from RNAcentral.